Molecule: ribosomal RNA, 243 nt
Filed under: uncultured bacterium
Lineage: Bacteria
Description: partial 16S ribosomal RNA
Rfam family: Bacterial small subunit ribosomal RNA
Source: RNAcentral
GUCCGGGCGUUAUCCGGAUUUAUUGGGCGUAAAGCGGGCGCAGGCGGAAAGAUAAGUCUGAUGUGAAAGCCCCCGGCUUAACCGAGGAAUUGCAUCGGAAACUGUGUUUCUUGAGUGCAGAAGAGGAGAGUGGAACUCCAUGUGUAGCGGUGGAAUGCGUAGAUAUAUGGAAGAACACCAGUGGCGAAGGCGGCUCUCUGGUCUGCAACUGACGCUGAGGCUCGAAAGCAUGGGUAGCGAACA